RNAcentral lists this ribosomal RNA (1545 nucleotides) under Bacillus subtilis. RNAcentral describes it as "bacterial SSU rRNA". It matches the Rfam family "Bacterial small subunit ribosomal RNA", at positions 33 to 1378 of the family's 1533-position model. Lineage: Bacteria; Bacillati; Bacillota; Bacilli; Caryophanales; Bacillaceae. The record is from RNAcentral.
CUACUGAGCGGCACACGUGCUUCCAUCUGCAGUCGAGCGGACAGAUGGGAGCUUGCUCCCUGAUGUUAGCGGCGGACGGGUGAGUAACACGUGGGUAACCUGCCUGUAAGACUGGGAUAACUCCGGGAAACCGGGGCUAAUACCGGAUGCUUGUUUGAACCGCAUGGUUCAAACAUAAAAGGUGGCUUCGGCUACCACUUACAGAUGGACCCGCGGCGCAUUAGCUAGUUGGUGAGGUAAUGGCUCACCAAGGCAACGAUGCGUAGCCGACCUGAGAGGGUGAUCGGCCACACUGGGACUGAGACACGGCCCAGACUCCUACGGGAGGCAGCAGUAGGGAAUCUUCCGCAAUGGACGAAAGUCUGACGGAGCAACGCCGCGUGAGUGAUGAAGGUUUUCGGAUCGUAAAGCUCUGUUGUUAGGGAAGAACAAGUACCGUUCGAAUAGGGCGGUACCUUGACGGUACCUAACCAGAAAGCCACGGCUAACUACGUGCCAGCAGCCGCGGUAAUACGUAGGUGGCAAGCGUUGUCCGGAAUUAUUGGCGUAAAGGGCUCGCAGGCGGUUCCUUAAGUCUGAUGUGAAAGCCCCCGGCUCAACCGGGGAGGGUCAUUGGAAACUGGGGAACUUGAGUGCAGAAGAGGAGAGUGGAAUUCCACGUGUAGCGGUGAAAUGCGUAGAGAUGUGGAGGAACACCAGUGGCGAAGGCGACUCUCUGGUCUGUAACUGACGCUGAGGAGCGAAAGCGUGGGGAGCGAACAGGAUUAGAUACCCUGGUAGUCCACGCCGUAAACGAUGAGUGCUAAGUGUUAGGGGGUUUCCGCCCCUUAGUGCUGCAGCUAACGCAUUAAGCACUCCGCCUGGGGAGUACGGUCGCAAGACUGAAACUCAAAGGAAUUGACGGGGGCCCGCACAAGCGGUGGAGCAUGUGGUUUAAUUCGAAGCAAAGAACAAGUACCGUUCGAAUAGGGCGGUACCUUGACGGUACCUAACCAGAAAGCCACGGCUAACUACGUGCCAGCAGCCGCGGUAAUACGUAGGUGGCAAGCGUUGUCCGGAAUUAUUGGGCGUAAAGGGCUCGCAGGCGGUUCCUUAAGUCUGAUGUGAAAGCCCCCGGCUCAACCGACGCGAAGAACCUUACCAGGUCUUGACAUCCUCUGACAAUCCUAGAGAUAGGACGUCCCCUUCGGGGGCAGAGUGACAGGUGGUGCAUGGUUGUCGUCAGCUCGUGUCGUGAGAUGUUGGGUUAAGUCCCGCAACGAGCGCAACCCUUGAUCUUAGUUGCCAGCAUUCAGUUGGGCACUCUAAGGUGACUGCCGGUGACAAACCGGAGGAAGGUGGGGAUGACGUCAAAUCAUCAUGCCCCUUAUGACCUGGGCUACACACGUGCUACAAUGGACAGAACAAAGGGCAGCGAAACCGCGAGGUUAAGCCAAUCCCACAAAUCUGUUCUCAGUUCGGAUCGCAGUCUGCAACUCGACUGCGUGAAGCUGGAAUCGCUAGUAAUCGCGGAUCAGCAUGCCGCUGCUAGACUGACCUGUCAUG